This 2821-nucleotide long non-coding RNA is filed under the name Sus scrofa (pig). RNAcentral describes it as "lncRNA (ENSSSCG00000058096.1)". The record is from RNAcentral. Lineage: Eukaryota; Metazoa; Chordata; Mammalia; Artiodactyla; Suidae.
AAGACAUGGCCGCUUACCCUGUCUGUGCUCAUCCCGUCCUCCACAGGGGCCUUUCUUACAGAGUGUGCUCUUGAUCAGUGUGGGCACUCACCUAAUUCCUGUCUUCAUACCUUUGGUCAUGCUGUCCUCUGCACCACUCUCUUCUUACGUUUAUUGGUGGUCAUUCCUCAGUGAGAAGGAAAGAUGUGCCUUCUCUCAGGGUUUCAGAGAAGCAUUCAUAAACUUUCUCUAAAGGGCCAGGUUUUAAGUACUUAGGCUUCAUGGACCACACAGUCUCUGUUGCAACCUCUCAACCUGUCCUUUUAACACAAAGCAACAUAGUGUCCAUGAGUGAGUGUGGCAGUGUUCCAGUAGAACUGUUUGUAGGCCUUGAAAUUUAAGUUUCACGUAAUUUCCAUGGGUGGUGAAAUAAUUCUUUUUUUUUUUUAAUUUUUUUCCCAACCAUUGGAAGAUGUAAGAACCAUUUUGUGAGCAAGUAGAACCAGAACAGGUGACAGGAGUGCUCUGGCCCUGGGCUGUGCUUUGUCAACACCUGUUUUGGAGGAAGCAGCAUCGAAGAGAAAGCUGAAAAUAGGAGUAUACUACUACCUGCCCAACUUGGAAACAAAGCUUACCCAGAGAGAGAUAAUUGACAGCUCUGACCUUACUGCUAUGCAUUCAGAGUGUUUGUGGAGCCCACAGUGUUUUCUGAUCACAGAAUUCCAUCCCCUCUCUAGUCUCCAUUGUUACCUCCUCAGCCUGCUCACCCACAAGGUCUCCUGCUCUGCCCCUCCAUGCUUUCCCCACCAGGAACGACCAUGAUCCUCGGCAAAUAAGGCAGGUGGGGGAGCUCCCCUGCGGUUCAGUGGGUUAAGGAUCUGGCGUUGUCACUCCAGUAGCUCCAGUUGCUCCUAUGGCUCUGAUGUGAUCCGUGCGAACUUCCACAAGCCGCGGGAGCAGCCAAAAAAAAAAAAAAGAGAAGGGUCCUAUCCUCAAGUAGAUGUCUUUCCUGGCCUGGGCCUGCCACCCUCCCCUGCAUGCUCCACUUCACCACUGCCACUCGUUCCGGCAGGAUAUUCAUCCCAACCUCUCUGCUGGCUCCUCCUCUCUGCCCUCCUGUAGCAGCUCCAUGGGACCCCGCGCUGCUCCCAAAUCCUCCCUUCCUCCCCCAUUAGCUGCACUUACCGUGCUUCCCUGUUUCUUUGUUUUCUCUUGGUUAUCAAGGCCUUGGUUAUCUCGCCGACCACUGCAUGCCCAUCCCUAGCACAGUGCCUUGCAUGUGCAAUCGAGGACAGGAGAAUGAGGUAAGCAUGUGAGGUAAGCAUCUGACUGCCUGAGAACCACUUCAAACAGCACUUGACAGGGAAAGAGAACGGUGGCUUUAAGGAACUACCAAUAACUAAAGAACCCUAUCAUUAUUUUUUUUUAUAUGUGCUACUUCCCUUACAUGGGCUAACCACUUGGCUGAAAACGAUGACAUGGAAGGAAAGGGAAAAACAGGGCAGCUCAUAGAUGCUUGUCCUAUCAGGUUUUCCAUACUCACUAGAAAGAUGAAGGUGAUGUUAGCAGAAUGUGAAACUAUGAAGAAGUGAAAUACAGCUGAUUUUUCUCUGCCCAGGUAAGAAUGGACUCUGUAUACAUGUCUGAGCAAUGAAUUGUGUAACUUCAGGAAUUAUGCACAUGAACUGAAGGUUCUUAUAUUUGCAUUUAAAACUGGCAUCACACAAAAUAAAGAUAAAUGGUACAAUUCACACCAUUAUUUUAUUUUAUUUUAUUUUAUUUUGGCUGCAUCCGCAGCAUAUGGAAAUUUCCAGGCCAGGAAUUGACUCCAAGCCAUAGCUGCAACCUACACCAUAGCAGAGAUAAUGCCGGCUCCUUAACCUGCUGUCCCAUGGCAGGAACUCACAUACUAUAAUUUUAAAUUUUAAUUUUCUUAGAAUGACAUUAAAAAGCAAGUAAAAACAAGAGAGAGAACACACACAAAAAAAAGCACUUUCUGUGUUCGUACCUUUUACAGCACUUUUUCACUGCUAGCUGCGUAAGAGAUUACACGUUCAUUUGUACUGCAACAGUUAUGUUGUAGACCCGGUAUGUGGAGAAAGGAGAAAUAAAGUCAGGAAAGCUUCAUUGUGGAGGUAACAUUUGACCUGCGUCUGGAAAAUAAUUAGGGGUCUCCAGGUAGAAAUAAACAGAAGGAACAACAAAAACUCCUUUCAGGGGAUAUAAACAUGAGCCUUGGCCAUUUGGGCUGUGCCAUAUUGGGAUUUAUAAGAAAUCACCAAUGGCCAAUAAUUUAAUCAAUCACAAAGACUCUGGGAACCCCUGGUGUCUCUUCUUGUAAAGGUAUAAUACCAUGAUGAGGGUCACAGUUACGAUCUCAUCUAAACUUAAUUAUCUUCCAAAGGCCCCAUCUCCACAUAGCAUCAUCACAUUGGAGGUGAGGGUUUCAAUGUGUGAGUAUGAGGCAGGGCAAAAGCCAGUCCACAGCAACAUGCAUGCAGUGUCUGGGGACUAGUGGCUGGGUUUGUAUGAUGAGAGUAGGUACUGAAUAGGUAGGUAGAAGCUGGAACAAAGCUAGUGUCAGGUUUAAAGUACCUCUCUACUGUGCUAAGAUUUAAACUUCAUGUUAGAAAAUUGGAGGAGUUCCCAUUGUGGCUAAAGUGGGUUAAGAACCCAACUAGUAUCCCUGAGGAUGCGAGCUUGAUCCUUGGCCUCACUCAGUGGGUUAAGGAUAUGGCAUUGCUGCAGACUGGCAUAGACUGAAGCUUGGAUCCCGAGUUGCUGUGGCUGUGGUGUAGGCCGGUAGCUGUAGCUCUGAUUCAACCCCUAGCCUGGGAACUUC